AGUGAACGCUGGCGGUAGGCCUAACACAUGCCAGUCGAACGGCAGCACAGUAAGAGCUUGCUCUUACGGGUGGCGAGUGGCGGACGGGUGAGGAAUACAUCGGAAUCUACUUUUUCGUGGGGGAUAACGUAGGGAAACUUACUCUAAUACCGCAUACGACCUACGGGUGAAAGCAGGGGAUCUUCUGACCUUGCGCGAUUGAAUGAGCCGAUGUCGGAUUAGCUAGUUGGCGGGGUAAAGGCCCACCAAGGCGACGAUCCGUAGCUGGUCUGAGAGGAUGAUCAGCCACACUGGAACUGAGACACGGUCCAGACUCCUACGGGAGGCAGCAGUGGGGAAUAUUGGACAAUGGGCGAAAGCCUGAUCCAGCCAUACCGCGUGGGUGCAGAAGGCCUUCGGGUUGUAAAGCCCUGUUGUUGGGAAAGAAAAGCAGCAGGUUAACACCCCGCUGUUCUGACGGUACCCAAAGAAUAAGCACCGGCUAACUUCGUG
This 492-nucleotide ribosomal RNA is filed under the name uncultured bacterium. RNAcentral describes it as "partial 16S ribosomal RNA". It matches the Rfam family "Bacterial small subunit ribosomal RNA", at positions 29 to 507 of the family's 1533-position model. The record is from RNAcentral.